Molecule: ribosomal RNA, 400 nt
Filed under: uncultured Halomonas sp.
Lineage: Bacteria; Pseudomonadati; Pseudomonadota; Gammaproteobacteria; Oceanospirillales; Halomonadaceae
Description: bacterial SSU rRNA
Rfam family: Bacterial small subunit ribosomal RNA
Source: RNAcentral
GAGAGUAACGUAAAGAAUCUGCCCGGUAGUGGGGGAAACCUGAGGAAACUCCGCUAAUACCGCAUACGCCCUACGGGGGAAAGCACGGGCUCUUCAGACCUUGCGCUAUCGGAUGAGCUUAUGUCGGAUUAUCUGGUUGGUGAGGUAACGGCUCACCAAGGCGACAAUCCGUAUCUGGUCUGAGAGGAUGAUCACCCCCACCGGGACUGAGACACGGCCCGACUCCUACGGGAGGCAGCGGUGGGGAAUAUUGGACAAUGGGGGCAACCCUGAUCCCCCAUGCCGCGUGUGUGAAGAAAGCCUUCGGGUUGUAAAGCACUUUCAGCGAGGAAGAAUGCUUGUCGGUUAAUACCCGGCAAGGAAGACAUCACUCGCAGAAGAACCACCGGCUAACUCCGUG